CCCUUCGGGGGUACUCGAGCGGCGAAAGGGGUAGUAAUGCAUAGGUAACCAACCCUGGGGACCGGAAUAGCCGCGGGAAACUGCGGGUAAUACCGGAUAACGAAUCUUAAGCGGAAGCUUCAUAUUCCAAAUGGUGUGAUUCCGCCUUGGGACCGGCCUAUGUCCUAUCAGCUUGUUGGUAAGGUAACGGCUUACCAAGGCUACGACGGGUAGGGGGGUGUGAGAGCAUGGGCCCCCACCACUGGGGACUGAGACACUGCCCAGACACCUGCGGGUGGCUGCAGUCGAGAAUCUUUGGCAAUGGGCGAAAGCCUGACCAAGCGACGCCGCGUGCGGGAUGAAGGCCUUCGGGUUGUAAACCGCUGUCAGAGGGGAGGAAAUGCAAAGGGGCUAUCCCCUUGUUUGACCUAUCCUCAGAGGAAGCACGGGCUAAGUUCGUGCCAGCAGCCGCGGUAAGACGAACCGUGCGAACGUUGUUCGGAAUCAUUGGGCUUAAAGGGUGCGUAGGCGGCUGAGUAAGUCGGGUGUGAAAUCCCUCGGCUCAACCGAGGAAUUGCGCUCGAUACUGCUUGGCUUGAGAGAGAUAGGGGCGUGUGGAACUUCCGGUGGAGCGGUGAAAUGCGUUGAUAUCGGAAGGAACGCCGAUGGCGAAAGCGACACGCUGGGUCUACUCUGACGCUGAGGCACGAAAGCUAGGGUAGCGAACGGGAUUAGAUACCCCGGUAGUCCUAGCUGUAAACGAUGAGCACUGGGUUGAGGAGGUUCCUAUGCUUUCUCAGCCGAAGCAAAAGU
This 792-nucleotide ribosomal RNA is filed under the name uncultured bacterium. Its description in RNAcentral is "bacterial SSU rRNA". It matches the Rfam family "Bacterial small subunit ribosomal RNA", at positions 76 to 858 of the family's 1533-position model. The record is from RNAcentral.